UCUCCCUUUGCGGGGAUAACCUUCCGAAAGGAGGGCUAAUACCGCAUAAGACCACGACUCCGAAAGGAGACGAGGUUAAAGCAGGCCUCUAUACAUAAGCUUGCUCCAAAGGAUGAGCCCGCGGCCCAUCAGCUAGUUGGUAGGGUAACGGCCUACCAAGGCUAAGACGGGUAGCUGGUCUGAGAGGAUGAUCAGCCACACUGGAACUGAGACACGGUCCAG
RNAcentral lists this ribosomal RNA (222 nucleotides) under uncultured bacterium. RNAcentral describes it as "partial 16S ribosomal RNA". It matches the Rfam family "Bacterial small subunit ribosomal RNA", at positions 125 to 334 of the family's 1533-position model. The record is from RNAcentral.